AUUGAACGCUGGCGGCAGGCCUAACACAUGCAAGUCGGACGAGCGGCGGACGGGUGAGUAAUGUCUGGGGAACUGCCUGAUGGAGGGGGAUAACUACUGGAAACGGUAGCUAAUACCGCAUACCAUCGGAUGUACCCAGAUGGGAUUAGCUAGUAGGUGAGGUAACGGCUCACCUAGGCGACGAUCCCUAGCUGGUCUGAGAGGAUGAGCAGCCACACUGGGACUGAGACACGGUCCAGACUCCUACGGGAGGCAGCAGUGGGGAAUAUUGCACAAUGGGCGCAAGCCUGAUGCAGCCAUGCCGCGUGUAUGAAGAAGGCCUUCGGGUUGUAAAGUACUUUCAGUGAGGAGGCGUUACCGACAGAAGAAGCACCGGCUAACUCCGUGCCAGCAGCCGCGGUAAUAC
This 406-nucleotide ribosomal RNA is filed under the name uncultured bacterium. RNAcentral's name for it is "partial 16S ribosomal RNA". It matches the Rfam family "Bacterial small subunit ribosomal RNA", at positions 30 to 526 of the family's 1533-position model. The record is from RNAcentral.